UGGCUCAGAUUGAACGCUGGCGGCAUGCUUACACAUGCAAGUCGAACGGCAGCGGCGGGGGCAACCCUGGCGGCGAGUGGCGAACGGGUGAGUAAUGCAUCGGAACGUAUCCUGUAAUGGGGGAUAGCGUAGCGAAAGUUACGCUAAUACCGCAUACGCUCGAGAGAGGAAAGUGGGGGAUCGCAAGACCUCACGUUAUAGGAGCGGCCGAUGUCCGAUUAGCUAGUUGGUGGGGUAAAGGCCUACCAAGGCGACGAUCGGUAGCUGGUCUGAGAGGAUGAUCAGCCACACUGGGACUGAGACACGGCCCAGACUCCUACGGGAGGCAGCAGUGGGGAAUUUUGGACAAUGGGCGAAAGCCUGAUCCAGCCAUGCCGCGUGCGGGAAGAAGGCCUUCGGGUUGUAAACCGCUUUAGUCCGGGAAAAAGGGGUGCGAGGAUAAUACCCUCGUGCUUUGAUGGUACUGGAAGAAUAAGCACCGGCUAACUACGUG
Molecule: ribosomal RNA, 493 nt
Filed under: uncultured bacterium
Lineage: Bacteria
Description: bacterial SSU rRNA
Rfam family: Bacterial small subunit ribosomal RNA
Source: RNAcentral